This 254-nucleotide ribosomal RNA is filed under the name uncultured bacterium. RNAcentral's name for it is "partial 16S ribosomal RNA". It matches the Rfam family "Bacterial small subunit ribosomal RNA", at positions 524 to 776 of the family's 1533-position model. The record is from RNAcentral.
UACGUAGGGGGCGAGCGUUGUCCGGAUUUAUUGGGCGUAAAGAGCUCGUAGGCGGUUUGGUAAGUCGGGUGUGAAAUCUCCACGCUCAACGUGGAGGGGCCACUCGAUACUGCCAUGACUCGAGUCCGGUAGAGGAGUGUGGAAUUCCCGGUGUAGCGGUGAAAUGCGCAGAUAUCAGGAAGAACACCAAUGGCGAAGGCAGCUCUCUGGGACGGUACUGACGCUGAGACGCGAAAGCCAGGGGAGCAAACGGG